AACCUAGCACACCUGCGGUGUGUACCUGCGGAAGGAUCAUUACCGAGUUUACAACUCCCAAACCCCUGUGAACAUGUUGCCUCGGCGGAUCAGCCCGCUCCCGGUAAAACGGGACGGCCCGCCAGAGGACCCCUAAACUCUGUUUCUAUAUGUAACUUCUGAGUAAAACCAUAAAUAAAUCAAAACUUUCAACAAUGGAUCU
Molecule: unclassified non-coding RNA, 202 nt
Filed under: soil metagenome
Description: partial contains 5.8S ribosomal RNA, internal transcribed spacer 2, and large subunit ribosomal RNA
Source: RNAcentral